AGCAGCCGCAGUAAUUCCAGCUCCAAUAGCGUAUAUUAAAGUUGUUGCAGUUAAAAAGCUCGUAGUUGAAUUUCGGGAUCGAUAUUUCGGUCAUGCCGUUGGUAUGCACUGUUAUCAUUGAUUUCUCACCUUCUAAAGAACCGUGAUGCCAUUAAAAAUGGUGUUACGGGGAAUUAGGACUGUUACCUUGAAAAAAUUAGAGUGUUUAAAGCAGGCUCACGCUUGAAUACAUUAGCAUGGAAUAAUGAAAUAGGACAUCCGAUUCUAUUUUGUUGGUUUCUAGGAUCGAUGUAAUGAUUAAUAGGGAUAGUUGGGGGCAUUAGUAUUCAAUUGUCAGAGGUGAAAUUCUUGGUAUUUAUUGAAAGACUAACUACUGCGAAAGCAUUAGCCAAGGAUGUUUUCAUUAAUCAAGAACGAUAAGUCAGGGGAUCGAAGACGAUCAGAUACCGUGCGUCAGUCUUAACCAUAAACUAUGCCGACUAGGGAUCGGAUGAUGUUAAUUUUUUAAUGACUCA
This 515-nucleotide ribosomal RNA is filed under the name Glomus sp. Glo46. RNAcentral's name for it is "SSU rRNA". It matches the Rfam family "Eukaryotic small subunit ribosomal RNA", at positions 569 to 1078 of the family's 1831-position model. The record is from RNAcentral. Lineage: Eukaryota; Fungi; Glomeromycota; Glomeromycetes; Glomerales; Glomeraceae.